UACGUAGGGGGCAAGCGUUAUCCGGAUUUACUGGGUGUAAAGGGAGCGUAGACGGCUUUGCAAGCCAGAUGUGAAAGCCCGGGGCUCAACCUCGGGUCUGCAUUUGGAACUGUAUGGCUGGAGUGUCGGAGAGGCAGGCGGAAUUCCUAGUGUAGCGGUGAAAUGCGUAGAUAUUAGGAGGAACACCAGUGGCGAAGGCGGCCUGCUGGACGAUGACUGACGUUGAGGCUCGAAAGCGUGGGGAGCAAACAGG
Molecule: ribosomal RNA, 253 nt
Filed under: uncultured bacterium
Lineage: Bacteria
Description: partial 16S ribosomal RNA
Rfam family: Bacterial small subunit ribosomal RNA
Source: RNAcentral